AGCUCCAAUAGCGUAUAUUAAAGUUGUUGCAGUUAAAAAGCUCGUAGUUGAACCUUGGGCAAGAUGCAUCAGGUCGGCCGCAAGGCCGGACUUGGUCGUCGCGCCUCUGUUGGGGGACUUGCCGCUUCGGCGACAAGGUAACCUACGUUACUGUGAAGAAAUUAGAGUGUUUAAAGCAGGCGAUCGCUUGAAUACAUCAGCAUGGAAUAACAAGAUAAGACAUUAGUCUUCUUGUUGGUUUGGAGACAAAUGUAAUGAUUAAUAGGGCCAGUUGGGGGCAUUAGUAUUCAGUAGUCAGAGGUGAAAUUCUUGGAUUUACUGAAGACUAACUAGUGCGAAAGCAUUUGCCAAGGAUGUUUUCA
RNAcentral lists this ribosomal RNA (362 nucleotides) under uncultured eukaryote. RNAcentral describes it as "SSU rRNA". It matches the Rfam family "Eukaryotic small subunit ribosomal RNA", at positions 587 to 972 of the family's 1831-position model. The record is from RNAcentral.